UUCCAACACUGCCCCUAAUGCCACUUCGUCAUUUUUUCAGUCGCCAUUGUUCUCGUUCUCGGCCGUCGAAUUUGUGGAAAUAAACGUAUUUCCCAUUUAAAUUCGCUGCAAUAAUCACAAUAGCGAACUGCAAAACACAACACAAGCCGAGUGCGUGUCGAUUUCCAGUAAUUCGGAGCGCGCAAGUCGAAUAAACACGCUCUAAACAUCAGCCAAUACAGGGCCAGAAAUCGAAUAUUUGUUCGUGGCAAAUAUAUAAUCUUGUGAAAAAGCCAGAAAAUGUCAUCUGUGAAUCCGGAAUACGACUAUCUCUUUAAGUUGCUGCUCAUUGGAGACUCGGGCGUUGGAAAGUCCUGUCUUCUGCUGCGAUUUGCCGAUGACACAUAUACAGAAAGCUAUAUCAGCACAAUUGGAGUGGAUUUCAAAAUCAGGACCAUCGAACUCGACGGAAAGACCAUUAAACUACAAAUCUGGGAUACUGCUGGCCAGGAGCGCUUCCGCACCAUCACGUCUUCAUAUUAUAGAGGAGCCCAUGGCAUCAUUGUCGUAUACGAUUGCACGGACCAAGAGUCUUUUAACAAUGUAAAGCAGUGGCUGGAGGAGAUCGAGCGGUAUGCCUGUGAGAAUGUCAACAAGUUGCUGGUGGGCAACAAGAGCGACUUGACCACCAAGAAGGUAGUCGACCACACCACAGCUGCGGAGUACGCCGCCCAGUUAGGCAUUCCAUUCCUUGAAACAUCGGCCAAGAGCGCCACCAACGUGGAGCAGGCCUUCAUGACGAUGGCGGCCGAGAUCAAGAAUCGCGUCGGGCCGCCAUCCAGCGCCACCGACAACGCUAGCAAAGUGAAAAUCGAUCAAGGACGUCCAGUGGAAAACACCAAAUCCGGUUGCUGCUGAAUAACUCUGAUUGUGAAUCAUUAUUUUAUUAUACAAUUAAACAAAAUUUAAAUAUAAUAAAUUAAAACGGAAACCACACAAUAAUAAUAAAACAAGCGAAACCGAUGGCGGAUCCACGAAAUCGUAAUUAUAAUAACUAAUUCUGUAAUAACAAUAAUGGUGAGAAAUGACGAGUAGUGCGUUUGUACGUAGCCAACCAGAUCCAAAUUCAGACUUCAGACAUCCCCAACCAAAACAGAAACAACAAAGGCAUCGAUCCUAAUACUAACCGUCACUCUGAUUUCCGCAGUUCUGUUCAUAAGUAGUGCAAAGCAAGCUAAUUCGGUGUAGCAAUAACCUAAUAUUACUUUAACCUAUAGUAAGAAGUUACCUAUCACAGCAGCGCGAAACAAUACCGAAACUAAUAUGUACUAUUAACUACAGAUUAAUUGAGCGCAGGCGACGGCAGGAGCAAUUAUACUUGCCCUGUGUCAGCUACUACUUACCACUAUGUAUACAUAUGUAUGUGUUUAAAUUACAAAUUCAAUUUUCUAAACAUAUUAUCUCUAGCGAACGUGAUCGCCAAUUGUCUCAGUCAUCUUGAAAUUUUAUGUAAAUCGAACCCAAAACCGAACGAACAUUUUUAGAAUUAACGUCGAAUGAUUUUGUGUUUGAAUUUUCGUGUGACACAAGGGAUUUGUUAAGGCACAUAAUUAGUGUAAUAAUGACGACAGCGAUAAAGUUUAAUAAAAAUGAUUGCGUGUGCGUUUAUAAAUUGAAAGGUUUGGGAUCAAGGAGACACUUUAGUUUCGGUUUUAACCGUCGCCCGAAUUUGGAUCUUAACUUCACUUAAGUCUAAUAAAAUCGAUCUGUACCGAUGCCUAUAAA
RNAcentral lists this unclassified non-coding RNA (1764 nucleotides) under Drosophila yakuba. Its description in RNAcentral is "Rab1". The record is from RNAcentral. Lineage: Eukaryota; Metazoa; Arthropoda; Insecta; Diptera; Drosophilidae.